RNAcentral lists this ribosomal RNA (254 nucleotides) under uncultured bacterium. RNAcentral describes it as "partial 16S ribosomal RNA". It matches the Rfam family "Bacterial small subunit ribosomal RNA", at positions 524 to 776 of the family's 1533-position model. The record is from RNAcentral.
UACGUAGGGUGCAAGCGUUGUCCGGAAUUAUUGGGCGUAAAGAGCUCGUAGGCGGUCUGUCGCGUCGGUCGUGAAAACUUGGGGCUUAACCCUGAGCUUGCGGUCGAUACGGGCAUGACUGGAGUUCGGUAGGGGAGACUGGAAUUCCUGGUGUAGCGGUGAAAUGCGCAGAUAUCAGGAGGAGCACCGGUGGCGAAGGCGGGUCUCUGGGCCGAUACUGACGCUGAGGAGCGAAAGCGUGGGGAGCGAACAGG